UACGGGGGGGGCAAGCGUUGUUCGGAAUUACUGGGCGUAAAGGGCGCGCAGGCGGCCGCUCAAGUCAGAUGUGAAAGCCCCGGGCUCAACUUGGGAACUGCAUUUGAUACUGAGUGGCUAGAGUUCGGGAGAGGAGAGUGGAAUUCCCAGUGUAGAGGUGAAAUUCGUAGAUAUUGGGAAGAACACCGGUGGCGAAGGCGGCUCUCUGGACCGAUACUGACGCUGAGGCGCGAAAGCGUGGGGAGCAAACAGG
This 253-nucleotide ribosomal RNA is filed under the name uncultured bacterium. RNAcentral's name for it is "partial 16S ribosomal RNA". It matches the Rfam family "Bacterial small subunit ribosomal RNA", at positions 524 to 776 of the family's 1533-position model. The record is from RNAcentral.